ACGAACGCUGGCGGCGUGCUUAACACAUGCAAGUCGAACGAUGAAAGAGGGAGCUUGCUUCUUCUGGAUUAGUGGCGAACGGGUGAGUAACACGUGAGCAAUCUGCCCUUGACUCUGGGAUAAGCGUUGGAAACGACGUCUAAUACCGGAUACGACCCUCGGAGGCAUCUCCUGGGGGUGGAAAGAAUUUUGGUCAAGGAUGAGCUCGCGGCCUAUCAGCUAGUUGGUGAGGUAAUGGCUCACCAAGGCGACGACGGGUAGCCGGCCUGAGAGGGUGACCGGCCACACUGGGACUGAGACACGGCCCAGACUCCUACGGGAGGCAGCAGUGGGGAAUAUUGCACAAUGGGCGAAAGCCUGAUGCAGCAACGCCGCGUGAGGGAUGACGGCCUUCGGGUUGUAAACCUCUUUUAGUAGGGAAGAAGCGAAAGUGACGGUACCUGCAGAAAAAGCACCGGCUAACUACGU
RNAcentral lists this ribosomal RNA (468 nucleotides) under uncultured bacterium. RNAcentral describes it as "bacterial SSU rRNA". It matches the Rfam family "Bacterial small subunit ribosomal RNA", at positions 29 to 506 of the family's 1533-position model. The record is from RNAcentral.